This 390-nucleotide unclassified non-coding RNA is filed under the name Metschnikowia sp. CLIB 1730. Its description in RNAcentral is "sequence contains ITS1, 5.8S rRNA gene and ITS2". Lineage: Eukaryota; Fungi; Ascomycota; Pichiomycetes; Serinales; Metschnikowiaceae. The record is from RNAcentral.
CUGAUUUGAGGUCAAAAAUAAAAAGGUUUGUAGUCCCUUUCAAAAUCUUAUUUUGAAAAAGGUUCCUUGAUUUUUGGGCCGAGCCAACACCAAGCCGAAAGGGCUUGAGAAGAAACGACGCUCAAACAGGCCUGCCUUGAGGAAUACCUAAAGGCGCAAUGUGCGUUCAAAAAUUCAAUGAUUCACGUCUGCAAGUCAUACUACGUAUCGCAUUUCGCUGCGUUCUUCAUCGAUGCGAGAACCAAGAGAUCCGUUGUUGAAAGUUUUGUUUUUUGUGUAAAAAACUUGAAGUUAAAAUUAAAAAAAAAGUUUAGUUUUGUGUAAUUUAGAAUAAAAUUCAAGUGUGAAAGAAUUAUUAUUGUUAAUGAUCCUUCCGCAGGUCACCUACGA